AGCUGGAAUCGCUAGUAAUCGCGGAUCAGAAUGCCGCGGUGAAUACGUUCCCGGGCCUUGUACACACCGCCCGUCACACCAUGGGAGCCGGUAAUACCCGAAGUCAGUAGUCCAACCACGUGAGGACGCUGCCGAAGGUAGGAUUGGCGACUGGGGUGAAGUCGUAACAAGGUAUC
Molecule: ribosomal RNA, 176 nt
Filed under: uncultured bacterium
Lineage: Bacteria
Description: partial 16S ribosomal RNA
Rfam family: Bacterial small subunit ribosomal RNA
Source: RNAcentral